CUCCUCCCCACCAAUCCCCGCGUCCUCCUCCCCACCAACCCUAGCCAUUCCCUCGCCUCCCCUGCCCCCGUUCAUCCUCUCCAGCCGCCGCCGCCUCCCCUGUCUCUCCUCCUCUCUCCUCGUCACCAUCAUCGGGAUGCAACAGCGCAUCUGGCCGAAGGAGAGUGUGGCGGCUGUGUCUCCUAGCAAUGGCAGUGGGGACGGGUUGAUGAGGAGGCGACAACUCGAGAGGUAGGCAAGAGGAACACAACCCCCAGUUGAGGAGGAGCCGCUCGGCACAGAUGUAGCUAGGGUUUGGGUGGGGGUUGGUUCCUACACCGAUGACGGCAUUUGCCAGCAGCAGCACAUCCCUCGACUUCCGUAACCUCAGUUGCAGCUUGUCCCUGCACCCUUCUCUGGUCCUAGAUAAAACUGUCAUCUUGCUUCAGAUUCAAGUGGUUCUUCCAAGUUGAAUAAUGAGUGUGCAUGCCGCAGUAGCAAGGACAGACAACAUCAAUGCUGGUCAGCAACUAAAUCGGCAAGCAUUGAUAUUUUUAUUAGGAAGGUAACACAUCUUCCUAUACUAUAUGUUUGUGUGAUUCUGUUGCUUCUAAACCCAAUCUAUGUUGCUUCAUCUCAUGGAUGAGGGGUCGGCUACAGGAGCGCUAGGACCCUAGGAGUGGAACACCACUUCCUCCAAUAUUGCCGAGGUGCUCCUCUCCUAUGUUUUAAAGGCGUCC
Molecule: long non-coding RNA, 719 nt
Organism: Triticum aestivum (bread wheat)
Lineage: Eukaryota; Viridiplantae; Streptophyta; Magnoliopsida; Poales; Poaceae
Exons: 3
Source: RefSeq, a predicted model, not a curated record